UACGUAGGGUGCGAGCGUUGUCCGGAAUUAUUGGGCGUAAAGAGCUCGUAGGCGGUCUGUCGCGUCUGCUGUGAAAUCCCGAGGCUCAACCUCGGGCCUGCAGUGGGUACGGGCAGACUAGAGUGCGGUAGGGGAGGUUGGAAUUCCUGGUGUAGCGGUGGAAUGCGCAGAUAUCAGGAGGAACACCGAUGGCAAAGGCAGAUCUCUGGGCCGUAACUGACGCUGAGGAGCGAAAGCGUGGGGAGCGAACAGG
This 253-nucleotide ribosomal RNA is filed under the name uncultured bacterium. Its description in RNAcentral is "partial 16S ribosomal RNA". It matches the Rfam family "Bacterial small subunit ribosomal RNA", at positions 524 to 776 of the family's 1533-position model. The record is from RNAcentral.